GUUUAUAACAGCAUUUGACAGCCUCGUGACUCUCACAUAGGGAAAAAGUCUCGCCUGAAAACCCAUGCUAAGCUGCGUGUCUUGAGCUGUGCCAAUUUGUAUUCCAGGCAGCCUAAGGUUCCCAUCGUGAGUUUCAGGAAGGGAAAUUCAUGGAGGAAGUUCACCUCUGGAAGGGUGAGGAGCAAUAAAUAGGGUGGGUGAUGGACAUAUGUGACGUUUGCCACAGAGAGGCAGUCAGUAUGGGCCUUGUGGUCCGGGCUCUGCUUUGGGACACAAAUAUAAACUGUGUGAAGUCUUAUGGUAGCAUUCAUAACCCUGAUGCUUCACCCACCUUCCCAUACAUUAGAGGGACAAACAGAAGGAUCCCAGCUCUAUGGUUCUUGAUUGUUUGUCAGGUAGCAGCCAGGCAUGGAGAGGGAAAAAUUCUUUCUUUUCUGCUGCACUCUAGAUCCUUCCUUCUCUCCUCCUUCUUCAUUCUACACCACCCCCAACACAUAUCCCUGCACCCCGCCCAUUCUUUGCUCUCUCUCCUUUCUUACACUUAACUCCUUCUUGCUCCACAGCCUAACAUGCUGAUUAACAGGACCCCAAAGGUUUGGGUGGGUAUUAGGGGCCUUCUCAACAAAAGCAGCACACUCUUGAGCUUGUUCUUCCUUUUGUUGCCAUCUCAGAUAAAAAGGCCCCAUGAGGGAGGAGACAGAUAAGUAUAGACUUGGUAUUCUGAUAACUCUGUGUUACAUGGGAUCAGAUGUAAAUGAGUUGUACCCUGUGGUGUUUCAUGCUCUGCUGUGUUGUCUUCUCAUGGUGAGCUUUUCUGUGCCCUUAUUUCAUCCAGCUCUGGUUUCUGUGUUUCAUGUUAUUUCUCCUAGCCUCUGUAAACUCUGCAGCAUACUAAUAAUGCUCUGGCUUUCUGAUUAAAGAUAAAUGGCUUACUAUCAUCACCCCUGGCUUGAGGGCCAGCUCACAUGUAAUCCCUUAUAGGAUUCCAAAGUUGUUAAAUAAAUGCAGUUCUUUUUGUCAUUUUGAAGCAUUCAAAAAUUUUUCAAGAAAAGCUAUGAUCAUAUAAAUAGAAAUUUUAUCCAGAAUGUUACAGUGUAGCAUUUGUGAAUAAAUGUGUAGGUGCUGUAUUUGCUCAGACUCUAGUUUGGGUUGUGUUUUCUUUUCCCUUUUUUUUUUUGAGACAGGGUCUCUCUCUGUCAUCUGGGCUGCAGUGCAGUGGUAUAAUCACAGCUCACUGCAACCUCUACUCCCAGGCUCAAGCAAUCCUCCUGAGUAGCUGGGACUAGAGACAUGCGCCACAACGCCCAGCUAAUUUUUAGGUUUUUCUUUCACAUAGACAGGGUCUCACUCUGUUGGCCAGGCUGGUUUCGAACUCCUGGACUCAAGCAAUUCCCCCCACCUCAGCCUCCUAAAGUGCUGGGAUUACAGGCCUGAGCCACCAUACCCAGCAAGUUAUAUUUUCUUUUUCCUUAUAUAGAGUAAAAUAAGGGUGAGUGACCGAGAGGUUGAUGCAUAGCUAGAUCACCAGUUUAAAUGCCUUCCCACACACCCCUUUCCUCCUGUUCCCUCCACCUACAGGUUGUAGAUGAGCAUGAGAGUGUGGAGCAGAGUUGGCGAGUGCAAGUCGAGCCCAUCAACCUGGACAGCUGUCUCCGUGCUUUCACCAGUGAGGAAGAGCUAGGGGAAGAUGAGAUAUACUACUGUUCCAAGUGUAAGACCCACUGCUUUAGCAACAAAGAAGCUGGAUCUCUGGAGGCUUCCACCCUUCCUGAUUAUUCACCUUAAGCGAUUUCAAUUUGUAAAUGAUCAGUGGAUAAAAUCACAGAAAAUUGUCAAAUUUCCUCGGGAAAGUUUUGAUCCGAGUGCUUUUUUGGUACCACGAGACCCGGCUCUCUGCCAGCAUCAACCACUCACACCCCAGGGGGAUGAGCUCUCCAAGCCCAGGAUUCUGGCAAGAGAGGUGAAGAAAGUGGAUGUGCAGAGUUUGGCUGGGGAAGAGGACAUGCUCCUGAGCAAAAGCCCAUCCUCACUCAGCGCUAACAUCAGCAGCAGCCCAAAAGGUUCUCCUUCUUCAUCAAGAAAAAGUGGAACCAGCUGUCCCUCCAGCAAAAACAGCAGCCCUAAUAGCUGCCCACGGACUUUGGGGAGGAGCAAAGGGAGGCUCCGGCUGCCCCAGAUUGGCAGCAAAAAUAAACUGUCAAGUAGUAAGAAGAACUUGGAUGCCAGCAAAGAGAAUGGGGCUGGGCAGAUCUGUGAGCUGGCUGAUGCCUUGAGCUGAGGGCAUAUGCGGGGGGGCAGCCAACCAGAGCUGGUCACUCCUCAGGACCACGAGGUAGCUUUGGGCAAUGGAUUCCUUUAUGAGCAUGAAGCAUAUGGCAAUGGCUACAGCAAUGGUCAGCUUGGAAACCACAGUGAAGAAGACAGCACUGAUGACCAAAGAGAAGACACUCAUAUUAAGCCUAUUUAUAAUCUAUAUGCAAUUUCAGUAAGUGGUUUAUUGUAUGGUUUUCGGAGAGUGGUCUGUGUUUUGUUCACUUGUCUUCAUGUAUUCAUCAGCAAGUAUUUUUCAGGUCCUGCUUAUUUCCUAGCAUUGAGCUUAGUGAUAGAGAAAGUUAACGUAGAAAUCUGGGCCUGCCCAGGUGUGGUGGCUCACACCUGUAAUCCCAGCACUUUAGAAGGCUGAGGCAGGAGGAUCGCUUGAGCCCAGGAGUUUGAGACCAGCCUGGGCCCCAUCUCUACAAAUAAUUUUAAAAUGGAGCGAGGUAUGGUGGCAUUGCCUGUGGUCCCAGCUACUUGGAAGGCUGAGGCAGAAGGAUCACCUGAACCCAGGAGGCCAAGUCUUUAGAGAGUUGUGAUCACUUGACUGCACCCCAGCCUGGGUGAUAGAGCAAGCCCCUGUCUCAAAAUAAUAAUAAUAAUAGUAAUUACAUUAUAAAAUGAUUGUUUAUCCACACAAGACUUGGAGCUUAUGACUUUUGUAUUUUGCUUUUUGCUUAUUUUGGUUUUAGAGAAAGUUAGAGGGUUCUAAAAUAUUUUCUCACCUACUGAUCAUUUACAUGAUCACUGUUCUCCUGCUCAGAUCCUAGUGCUAUACCCUGGCCAUAGUACAGUUAACUACUAACAUACAUCCACUCUCUUAUCUCUUACAGUGCCAUUCAGGAAUUCUGAGUGGGGGCCAUUACGUCACUUAUGCCAAAAACCCAAACUGCAAGUGGUACUGCUACAAUGGCAGCAUCUGUGAGGUAAACAUUCUCAAUCUUUGAAUGAAAGUUAGAAACAGAAUAUCAACAGAACUGGAGAACAUUUGUUGAAAUAAUGGACUAUCUCUUGAAUAGGAAAUAGAUAUUUCUGUUAGAAUCAAUAUAUAGAUGCUGUCAGUAUUAAAGAAACAAAAGUGAUAUGCAGAGUAGGGAAUGAAAACAUGAGUAGUGAGGAAAAAUAAAGAGUUAGUUGACCGGGCGCAGUGGCUCAUGCCUGUAAUCCCAGCACUUUGGGAGGCUGAGGCAGGCUUAGGAGGUGGAUCACUUGAUGUCAGGAGUUAAAGACCAGACUGGCCAACAUGGCGAAACCCCAUCUCUGCUAAAAAUACAAAAAUUAGUUGGGCAUGUUGGCACAUGCCUGUAAUCCCAGCUACUCAGGAGGCUGAGGCAGGAGAAUGGCUUGAACCUGGGAGGUGGAGGUUGCAGUGAGCCAAGACUGCACCACUGCACUCCAGCCUGGGCAACAGAGCAAGACUCUGUCUCAAAAAAAAAAAAAAAA
This is a long non-coding RNA of Homo sapiens (human), 3759 nucleotides long. The record is from Ensembl. NCBI's taxonomy places the organism in Eukaryota, Metazoa, Chordata, Mammalia, Primates, Hominidae.